This 868-nucleotide small RNA is filed under the name Rattus norvegicus (Norway rat). Its description in RNAcentral is "uncharacterized LOC103694348". The record is from RNAcentral. Lineage: Eukaryota; Metazoa; Chordata; Mammalia; Rodentia; Muridae.
GAGCCGCGGCUGUGCUGUAUGCAGCCAUGCAGAAUGUGUGGAGGCUUGAGGACAAUUUACAGAGUGACAAGAAGUGCAAGAAGUCUCAGAUGAGGCUAGAUGGUGCCAUCGGUUUAGUCCUGCAGGAUUCCGGCUGCUGAGCAUGGUUCAAGGCCCACAGAGGAGGGACUCGGUGGGUACCAACUCCGGAAGGUUCUCAGUCACUACCAGCUUCCUGUCAAUUGAAAGGAGCUGCCUUUAGCAAUGUUUCCUACCCACAAGACUGUGCUUUAUCCUAUGACCCCUGACCCCUUCACCACAAUUUCCUGGACCAGGACUUACUGAAGAAUUGCUGGGCUGCUUGCCGCCAAGCCCAGUUUCUGAAAGAGAAGAGUCAUGCUGGCUGGCGGCUCUACAUCAGCUCCACAGGACAUGGAUUCUGGGGGAAGGCAUCGCUUGACCAACAGAAACUCUCAGGACAGGAUCCCCAGGGACAAGAAUUCCUCAUCCAUCUGUUGCUCCUUUAAGGCUCCCAUGUGUGAACAGGUUCUUUCCGGCUGGUACCGAGCUUUCAGGAGGCUGUGGGACCUUUAAGGCUCCAGUUGGAAGAGGGCCAGGAGGGAAGGAUGAACCAGACAUGACCCUACCCAUCAGGCAGCUCAGCGUUGGGGACACCCACAGCGUAAUCAUCACUCAAGCAGCAGCAACAGCAGCCGGAGACCACAGCAGGCAGCUACACAGUGGGCAGCACGGUUCUGGAUGUCCGUGCCAGUUGACGGAGGCCCUUGGUGCCUUACAUAGCAGAUGUCCCCACGACACUGGCUCCUGCUGCCCAUUAGAGACUGUGAGUCCUGGUCCUUGUGUCUGGCUGUGGCCUGAUGCCAGUGCC